Homalodisca vitripennis (glassy-winged sharpshooter) is the source of this 207-nucleotide long non-coding RNA. RefSeq lists it as uncharacterized. The transcript is spliced from 2 exons. NCBI's taxonomy places the organism in Eukaryota, Metazoa, Arthropoda, Insecta, Hemiptera, Cicadellidae. The record is from RefSeq and is a predicted model, not a curated record.
GAAAAAGUUGAUUAAACUGACAUCAACAGAAAAGCUUAACCUCACAAAGGAGUUUUAACAGUGAAAGUGGGGGUAGUUCAAGCGCUUGUAAAUCCCAGUUCCAGUUAGCAUCUGGAAUCCAAAGACAAAUAACCAGAACUGCCUACAAGAGACUCGAAAAUGAACUGUCUGAAUGUGGACAAAAACUUUUAGAACGUAACUUAGAAA